RNAcentral lists this long non-coding RNA (234 nucleotides) under Mytilus galloprovincialis (Mediterranean mussel). The record is from RNAcentral. Lineage: Eukaryota; Metazoa; Mollusca; Bivalvia; Mytilida; Mytilidae.
GUUUUUUUUUUUAUUAUUAAUUUUUAAAUAUUAUACGGUUCAUAAUUUACGCCAAUACUGUGAAACCAAUCUGAUGUGUUUUGUACAUUAUCACCAGUGUCAUUUAUUGUAUGUGUGUUGUGUGUAUGUGAUUACAAUAUGUACUUUAUUACUGUUUUACAAUUAACUUAUUUGCUCUCCGGUUUAUGUUCUAUCUGUUAUAUAUACAUAACCUAUGGGAAUAGAUAAUAAUAU